GGGCCUGUAGCUCAGCUGGAAGAGCACCUGCUUUGCAAGCAGGGGGUCAGGAGUUCAAAUCUCCUCAGGUCCA
RNAcentral lists this transfer RNA (73 nucleotides) under Candidatus Omnitrophota bacterium. RNAcentral describes it as "Candidatus Omnitrophica bacterium tRNA-Ala". It matches the Rfam family "tRNA". Rfam says of the family: Transfer RNA (tRNA) molecules are approximately 80 nucleotides in length. Their secondary structure includes four short double-helical elements and three loops (D, anti-codon, and T loops). The record is from RNAcentral. Lineage: Bacteria; Pseudomonadati; Candidatus Omnitrophota.